RNAcentral lists this ribosomal RNA (231 nucleotides) under uncultured bacterium. Its description in RNAcentral is "partial 16S ribosomal RNA". It matches the Rfam family "Bacterial small subunit ribosomal RNA", at positions 1260 to 1500 of the family's 1533-position model. The record is from RNAcentral.
ACCGGAUGCCGAUCUCGAAAACCUGUCCCAGUUCGGACUGGAGUCUGCAACCCGACUCCACGAAGUUGGAUUCGCUAGUAAUCGCGCAUCAGCCAUGGCGCGGUGAAUACGUUCCCGGGCCUUGUACACACCGCCCGUCAAGCCAUGGGAGCCGGGGGCGCCUGAAGUCCGGGACCGCGAGGACCGGCCUAGGGCGAAACUGGUGACUGGGCUAAGUCGUAACAAGGUACC